Molecule: ribosomal RNA, 497 nt
Filed under: uncultured bacterium
Lineage: Bacteria
Description: partial 16S ribosomal RNA
Rfam family: Bacterial small subunit ribosomal RNA
Source: RNAcentral
GAUGAACGCUGGCGGCGUGCCUAAUACAUGCAAGUCGAGCGAACGGACGAGAAGCUUGCUUCUCUGAUGUUAGCGGCGGACGGGUGAGUAACACGUGGAUAACCUACCUAUAAGACUGGGAUAACUUCGGGAAACCGUAGCUAAUACCGGAUAAUAUUUUGAACCGCAUGGUUCAAAAGUGAAAGACGGUCUUGCUGUCACUUAUAGAUGGAUCCGCGCUGCAUUAGCUAGUUGGUAAGGUAACGGCUUACCAAGGCAACGAUGCAUAGCCGACCUGAGAGGGUGAUCGGCCACACUGGAACUGUGACACGGUCCAGACUCCUACGGGAGGCAGCAGUAGGGAAUCUUCCGCAAUGGGCGAAAGCCUGACGGAGCAACGCCGCGUGAGUGAUGAAGGUCUUCGGAUCGUAAAACUCUGUUAUUAGGGAAGAACAUACGUGUAAGUAACUGUGCACAUCUUGACGGUACCUAAUCAGAAAGCCACGGCUAACUACGUG